Molecule: microRNA precursor, 63 nt
Organism: Coturnix japonica (Japanese quail)
Lineage: Eukaryota; Metazoa; Chordata; Aves; Galliformes; Phasianidae
Source: Ensembl
CCAUGCACCCACAAGCACAACCAAGCCCAAAUGAAAGGUUUGGGUGUACUUGCGGAUGAAUGG